This 468-nucleotide ribosomal RNA is filed under the name uncultured bacterium. Its description in RNAcentral is "partial 16S ribosomal RNA". It matches the Rfam family "Bacterial small subunit ribosomal RNA", at positions 28 to 507 of the family's 1533-position model. The record is from RNAcentral.
GAUGAACGCUGGCGGCGUGCUUAACACAUGCAAGUCGAACGGACAGGCCCUGCUUUUGUGGGGUGCUCGAGUGGCGAACGGGUGAGUAACACGUGAGUAACCUGCCCUUGACUUUGGGAUAACUUCAGGAAACUGGGGCUAAUACCGGAUAGGAGCUCCUGCUGCAUGUGGGGGGUUGGAAAGUUUCGGCGGUUGGGGAUUGUCUCGCGGGUUAUCGGCUAGUUUGUGGGGUAGGGGCUUACGAAGGCUUUGACGGGUAGCCGGCCUGAGAGGGGGGACGGCCACAUGGGGACUGAGGUACGGACCAGUCGGGAACGGGAGGCAGCAGGGGGGAGUAUGGCACAAUGGGCGGAAGCCAGAUGCAGCGACGCUGCGUGCGGGAAAACGUCCUACGGGUGGUGAACCGCUUUCGCCGGUGACGAAGCGGGAGUGACGGUAAUGGGUAAGAAAGCACCGGCUAACUACGUG